GCUCCUGCAGCAGAACAACACUAGAAGCAAAUUGACUGAAAUGUAACCUAAGUACACGCUUCCUUGGAGACGCCGGUGCAGUGUAGAACAUUAUACAACGGGGAUUAGGCUGCAUCCACAAAGUGUUGCCAUAAAUCUCUCUGAUGUGGCGUUACUAAAACUAGCAAUUUCACAAUUUCCACGAGUGACACCAGCGACUUUACGACUGAAUGUUGACCUAACGCGUGCCAUAAGGUCCCGUUUAUUUUUCCUUCGCAUACGAUCGCUCAGUGCAAGUCUGCUGGUCCCUGCGAGC
Molecule: long non-coding RNA, 295 nt
Organism: Sardina pilchardus (European sardine)
Lineage: Eukaryota; Metazoa; Chordata; Actinopteri; Clupeiformes; Clupeidae
Exons: 3
Source: RefSeq, a predicted model, not a curated record